CCUACGGGAUGCAGCAGUGGGGAAUAUUGCACAAUGGGGGAAACCCUGAUGCAGCGACGCCGCGUGAAGGAAGAAGUAUUUCGGUAUGUAACCUUCUAUCAGCAGGGAAGAAAAUGACGGUACCUGACAAAGAAGCCCCGGCUAACUACGUUCCAGCAGCCGAGGUAAUACGUAGGGGGCAAGCGUUAUCUGGAUUUACUGGGUGUAAAGGGAGCGUAGGCGGUGGUGCAAGUCAGAUGUGAAAGCCCGCAGGUCAACUGCGGGACUGCUUUUGAAACUGUAUGACUAGAUUGCAGGAGAGGUAAGUGGGAUUCCUAGGGUAGCGGUGAAAUGCGCAGAUAUUAGGAGGAACACCAGUGGCGAAGGCGGCUUACUGGACUGUAAAUGACGCUGAGGCUCGAAAGCGUGGGGAGCAAACAGGAUUAGAUACCCUUGUAGUC
Molecule: ribosomal RNA, 440 nt
Filed under: uncultured bacterium
Lineage: Bacteria
Description: partial 16S ribosomal RNA
Rfam family: Bacterial small subunit ribosomal RNA
Source: RNAcentral